GAUGAACGCUGGCGGCGUGCUUAACACAUGCAAGUCGAACGGAAAGGCCCAAGCUUGCUUGGGUGCUCGAGUGGCGAACGGGUGAGUAACACGUGGGUGAUCUGCCCUGCACUUUUGGAUAAGCCUGGGAAACUGGGUCUAAUACCGGAUAGGACCAUCGUUUAGUGUCGGUGGUGGAAAGUUUUUCGGUGUGGGAUGAGCUCGCGGCCUAUCAGCUUGUUGGUGGGGUAAUGGCCUACCAAGGCGUCGACGGGUAGCCGGCCUGAGAGGGUGUACGGCCACAUUGGGACUGAGAUACGGCCCAGACUCCUACGGGAGGCAGCAGUGGGGAAUAUUGCACAAUGGGCGCAAGCCUGAUGCAGCGACGCCGCGUGGGGGAUGACGGCCUUCGGGUUGUAAACUCCUUUCGCCAAGGACGAAGCGUUUUGUGACGGUACUUGGAGAAGAAGCACCGGCUAACUACGUG
This 466-nucleotide ribosomal RNA is filed under the name uncultured bacterium. RNAcentral's name for it is "partial 16S ribosomal RNA". It matches the Rfam family "Bacterial small subunit ribosomal RNA", at positions 28 to 507 of the family's 1533-position model. The record is from RNAcentral.